GUCUGCUGUUGUUGUUGUAUUGCUGUCUGCUGCUGCUGAAUCCUACUGCUGCUGCUGAUCUUUCUGCUGCUGUCUGCUGCUGAAUACUGCUGCUGUAUUGUUGUCUGCUGAAUAUUGCUGAAUACUGCUGCUGCUGUCUUUCUUAUAGGUUUAUGAGAAGAAAAAAACUGUGCGCUGGAAGUAUGACCUUGGCUGGAAAAGGAAUUUUGAACAGGUGAUAUGCAUAAGCCACUCUUCUAUACACAAUUGCACAGUUAAUUUAUCUUACACUUGAACUGACAUUCUGAAACUUGAUACAUAUGUAGGUCUCGCUGAGAAUGAAUGAAGUGGAAUACUAUUUUUUGUUGAAAUUUCCAGUUCUAUAGCUUUCAUUACAGUUUUAUUGUAAUAAUUGGACAGACGAAUUACUAAGCUUUUCUGUUUGAGCAUUUGAACUAUUAGGAUUGUGUGUGUGCUUGUUGUAAACAUUUGGAAAGGGAUUNNNN
Molecule: long non-coding RNA, 485 nt
Filed under: Nicotiana benthamiana
Lineage: Eukaryota; Viridiplantae; Streptophyta; Magnoliopsida; Solanales; Solanaceae
Description: long non-coding RNA (NBEN_LNC031268)
Source: RNAcentral